Small nuclear RNA from Uloborus diversus, 125 nucleotides. RefSeq annotates it as U4atac minor spliceosomal RNA. The transcript has a single exon. The record is from RefSeq and is a predicted model, not a curated record. Lineage: Eukaryota; Metazoa; Arthropoda; Arachnida; Araneae; Uloboridae.
CCCGUCCUUGUCUGAGGGUGAUGCUGUUCGAUGAAUGUCACGUGAGAGUAGUGUGCUGAAUCCAAUUGACACAAGAUCCGCACCUCUUGAUUAGCUAGUUGGGUUUGGGUGCAAUUUUUGGAACC